UAGGGAAUCUUCCACAAUGGACGAAAGUCUGAUGGAGCAACGCCGCGUGAGUGAAGAGGGGUUUCGGCUCGUAAAACUCUGUUGUUAAAGAAGAACAUAUCUGAGAGUAACUGUUCAGGUAUUGACGGUAUUUAACCAGAAAGCCACGGCUAACUACGUGCUAG
RNAcentral lists this ribosomal RNA (164 nucleotides) under uncultured bacterium. RNAcentral's name for it is "partial 16S ribosomal RNA". It matches the Rfam family "Bacterial small subunit ribosomal RNA", at positions 355 to 511 of the family's 1533-position model. The record is from RNAcentral.